UACAGAGGGUGCAAGCGUUGUUCGGAAUUAUUGGGCGUAAAGCGCGUGUAGGCGGCUUAGCAAGUCGGGCGUGAAAGCCCUCGGCUCAACCGAGGAAGUGCACCCGAAACUGCUGAGCUUGAGUGCCGGAGAGGAUGGCGGAAUUCCUGGUGUAGCGGUGAAAUGCGUAGAUAUCAGGAGGAACACCUGUGGUGUAGACAGCUUACUGGACCACUUCUGACGCUGAGACACGAAAGCGUGGGUAGCAAACAGG
This 253-nucleotide ribosomal RNA is filed under the name uncultured bacterium. RNAcentral describes it as "partial 16S ribosomal RNA". It matches the Rfam family "Bacterial small subunit ribosomal RNA", at positions 524 to 776 of the family's 1533-position model. The record is from RNAcentral.